Molecule: ribosomal RNA, 484 nt
Filed under: uncultured bacterium
Lineage: Bacteria
Description: partial 16S ribosomal RNA
Rfam family: Bacterial small subunit ribosomal RNA
Source: RNAcentral
AGUGAACGCUGGCGGCAGGCCUAACACAUGCAAGUCGAGCGGAUGAAGGGAGCUUGCUCCUGGAUUCAGCGGCGGACGGGUGAGUAAUGCCUAGGAAUCUGCCUGGUUGUUGGGGAUAACGUCCGGAAACGGGCGCUAAUACCGCAUACGUCCUGAGGGAGAAAGUGGGGGAGCUUCGGACCUUACGCUAUCAGAUGAGCCUAGGUCGGAUUAGCUAGUUGGUGGGGUAAAGGCCUACCAAGGCGACGAUCCGUAACUGGUCUGAGAGGAUGAUCAGUCACACUGGAACUGAGACACGGUCCAGACUCCUACGGGAGGCAGCAGUGGGGAAUAUUGGACAAUGGGCGAAAGCCUGAUCCAGCCAUGCCGCGUGUGUGAAGAAGGUCUUCGGAUUGUAAAGCACUUUAAGUUGGGAGGAAGGGCAGUAAGUUAAUACCUUGCUGUUUUGACGUUACCAACAGAAUAAGCACCGGCUAACUUCGUG